Molecule: ribosomal RNA, 458 nt
Filed under: uncultured bacterium
Lineage: Bacteria
Description: bacterial SSU rRNA
Rfam family: Bacterial small subunit ribosomal RNA
Source: RNAcentral
AACGAACGCUGGCGGCAUGCCUAACACAUGCAAGUCGAACGGGAUCCUAGCUUGCUAGGUGAGAGUGGCGGACGGGUGAGUAACACGUGGGAAUCUGCCUUUUGGUUCGGGAUAACCGCGGGAAACUGCGGCUAAUACCGAAUGCCCUCGUGAGAGGAAAGAUUUAUCGCCAGAAGAGGAGCCCGCGUCCGAUUAGGUAGUUGGUGGGGUAAAGGCCUACCAAGCCGACGAUCGGUAGCUGGUCUGAGAGGAUGAUCAGCCACACUGGGACUGAGACACGGCCCAGACUCCUACGGGAGGCAGCAGUGGGGAAUAUUGGACAAUGGGGGCAACCCUGAUCCAGCAAUGCCGCGUGAGUGAUGAAGGCCUUAGGGUUGUAAAGCUCUUUUGCCAGGGAAGAUGAUGACUGUACCUGGAGAAUAAGCCCCGGCUAACUUCGUGCCAGCAGCCGCGGUAAU